This 67-nucleotide transfer RNA is filed under the name Marmota monax (woodchuck). RNAcentral describes it as "tRNA.Thr". The record is from RNAcentral. Lineage: Eukaryota; Metazoa; Chordata; Mammalia; Rodentia; Sciuridae.
GGAUGUGGCUCAGCAGUAGAGUGCUUGCCUAGUAUAUGUAAGGCCCUGGGUUCAAUUCCCAGUACCA